This 439-nucleotide long non-coding RNA is filed under the name Lupinus angustifolius (narrow-leaved blue lupine). RNAcentral describes it as "long non-coding RNA (LANG_LNC000887)". The record is from RNAcentral. Lineage: Eukaryota; Viridiplantae; Streptophyta; Magnoliopsida; Fabales; Fabaceae.
AACAAUCAUGAAAAUCUAAACAGAUCUAAUCUCUCUUUCACAUUUUUGCUGCACAUAAUUACACACAAUGCAAUUCUAUAAGAAGAAGAAGAAGAAAAGUAACAAUAACAAUUUUAUAGUAUAACAUAGUACCCCUUUUUAUGUUACAAUCUUAUACAGAUAAUUAGCAUUAUGUGAAGAAUAACCUAGUUCUUUUCAUGCCAACACAAAAGCAUAGCUAUGCAACGACGAAGAAUGUAGAACUUUGCUCUUUGCUUCUUCACAAGGUGACUACACUUCUGACCAAAAGACUUGCAUGGAUCACAAGCUUCUUCUUGUUCUUCUUGUUGUUGCUGCUCAAUAUUUUUGUUUGUGUUGCUUUCUUUCAAUGCCAUGAAUAAUUGAAUGUGUGUGUAAAUGCUACUUAUUUUGACACCAUAUAGAAGUAAAUUUAAUGUAG